This 484-nucleotide ribosomal RNA is filed under the name uncultured bacterium. RNAcentral's name for it is "partial 16S ribosomal RNA". It matches the Rfam family "Bacterial small subunit ribosomal RNA", at positions 30 to 507 of the family's 1533-position model. The record is from RNAcentral.
AUUGAACGCUGGCGGCAGGCCUAACACAUGCAAGUCGAGCGGAUGAAGGGAGCUUGCUCCUGGAUUCAGCGGCGGACGGGUGAGUAAUGCCUAGGAAUCUGCCUGGUAGUGGGGGAUAACGUCCGGAAACGGGCGCUAAUACCGCAUACGUCCUGAGGGAGAAAGUGGGGGAUCUUCGAACCUCACGCUAUCAGAUGAGCCUAGGUCGGAUUAGCUAGUUGGUGGGGUAAAGGCCUACCAAGGCGACGAUCCGUAACUGGUCUGAGAGGAUGAUCAGUCACACUGGAACUGAGACACGGUCCAGACUCCUACGGGAGGCAGCAGUGGGGAAUAUUGGACAAUGGGCGAAAGCCUGAUCCAGCCAUGCCGCGUGUGUGAAGAAGGUCUUCGGAUUUUAAAGCACUUUAAGUUGGGAGGAAGGGCAGUAAGUUAAUACCUUGCUGUUUUGACGUUACCAACAGAAUAAGCACCGGCUAACUUCGUG